RNAcentral lists this ribosomal RNA (428 nucleotides) under uncultured archaeon. Its description in RNAcentral is "bacterial SSU rRNA". It matches the Rfam family "Archaeal small subunit ribosomal RNA", at positions 474 to 903 of the family's 1478-position model. The record is from RNAcentral.
UACCAGCUCUCCGAGUGGUGUGGAUGUUUAUUGGGCCUAAAGCAUCCGUAGCUGGCUGGGCAAGUCCCCUGUUAAAUCCACCGAUUUAAUCGUUGGUGUGCGGGGGAUACUGUUCGACUAGGGGACGGGAGAGGCCGACGGUAUUUUCGGGGUAGGGGUGAAAUCCUAUAAUCCCGGGAAGACACCAGUGGCGAAGGCUGUCGGCUAGAACGCGCCCGACGGUGAGGGAUGAAAGCUGGGGGAGCGAACCGGAUUAGAUACCCGGGUAGUCCCAGCUGUAAACGAUGCAGGCUAGGUGUUUGGGCGGCCACGUGCCGCUCUAGUGCCGCAGAGAAGUCGUUAAGCCUGCCGCCUGGGGAGUACGGUCGCAAGGCUGAAACUUAAAGGAAUUGGCGGGGGAGCACCACAAGGGGUGAAGCUUGCGGUUU